RNAcentral lists this ribosomal RNA (1777 nucleotides) under Durio zibethinus. RNAcentral's name for it is "SSU rRNA". It matches the Rfam family "Eukaryotic small subunit ribosomal RNA". Lineage: Eukaryota; Viridiplantae; Streptophyta; Magnoliopsida; Malvales; Malvaceae. The record is from RNAcentral.
UCUUUAUUGCUUAGUUGGUGCGUUGAGGCCUAAGUGGUGUUAUAAACUAAUUCAAAUUGUGAAACUAUGAAUGGCUUAUUAAAUUAGUUAUAGUUUAUUUGAUGGUAUCUACUAGUCGGAUAACCAUAGUAAUACUACAGCUAAUACGUGUAGAAACCCCAACUUCUAAAAGGGAUGCAUUUAUUAGAUAAAAGAUCAAUGUGAGCUUUGCCCGUUGUUUUAAUGAUUCAUGAUAACUUGAUCGAUUGCAUGGCCUUUAUGUUGUGCUAGCAAUGCAUCAUUCAAAUUUUUUCCCUAUGAAGUUUUGAUGCUAGGAUAGUGGCCUACUAUGGUGGUGAUGGGUGAUGGAGAGUUAGGGAGAGGGAGCCUAAGAAAUAGCUACCACAUCCAAGGAAGGCAAUAGGAGCAGAAAUUACCCAAUCUUGACAUAGAGAGUUAGUGACAAUAAAUAACAAUAUUGAGCUUUAUAAGUCUAGCAAUUAGAAUGAAUACAAUCUAAAUCCCUUAGCGAGGAUCCAUUGGAGGGCAAGUCUGGUGCCAGUAGCCAUAGUAAUUCUAGCUCCAAUAGUAGAAAUUUAAGUUGUUGCAGUUAAAAAGUUCAUAAUUAGAGUUAGGGUUAAGUCAUCUGGUCUACCUCACAAUAAGCAUCAGUUUACUUGUCCCUACUACUGGUGAUGUGCCCUUGGCCUUAACUGGCUGGGUCAUUCCUCCGACACUGCUACUUUGAAGAAAUUAGAGUGCUUAAUGUAUGCCCUUUCUUGUAUGCAUUAUAAAGGGAUAACAUCAUAGGAUUUUGGUCCUAUUGUGUUGGCCUUCAAGAUUAGAGUAAUGAUUAACAGAGACAAUCAAGGGCAUUUGUUUUUCAUAGUUAAAAGUGAAAUUUUUGGAUUUAUAAGAGAUGAACAACUACAAAAGCAUUUACCAAGGAUAUUUUUAUUAAUCAAGAAUGAAAGUUGGCACUAGAACAUGAUCAGAUACCAUCCUAGUCUCUACCAUAAAUGAUGCUGACCAGGGAUCAACAAAUGUUACUUUUAGGACUCUGUUGGUACCUUAUGAGAAAUCAAAGUCGUUGGGGUUUCAGGGGGAAUAUGGUCGUAGGGCUAAAACUUAAAGGAAUUGAUAGAAGGGCACUACCAGGAGUGGAGCCUAUAGCUUAAUUUCACUCAACAUGGGGAAACUUACCCGCUAUACAUGUAGUAAAGAUUGAUAGAUUGAUAGAUUGAGAGCUUUUUCUUAAUUCUAUGGGUGGUGGUGCAUGGCCGUUCUUAGUUGGUUGAAUGAUUUGUCUGGUUAAUUCUAUUAAUGAACAAGAUCUCAACCUACUAACUAGCUACGUGAAGGUGAUUCAUCAUGGCUAGCUUCUUAGAGGGACUAUGGCCAUUUAGGCCAAGGACGUUUGAGGGAAUAACAGGUCUAUGACACCCGUAGAUGUUUUGGGCUACUCAAACACUACACUAGUGUAUUGAACAAGUCUAUAGCCUCGACUAAUAGGCCUGAGUGAUCUUGAAAUUUCAUCAUGAUAGGGAUAGAUCAUUGCAAUUGUUAGUCUUCAACAAGGAAUUCCUAGUAAACAUGAUUCUUCAGCUUAUGUUGACUAUGUUCUUGCCCUUUGUACACACUACCUAUCACUUUUACCGAUUGAAUGGUCCGGUGAAGUGUUUGGAUCAUGGUGAUGUGGAAGGUUUGUUUCCAGAGAUGUUGUAAGAAGUCCAUUGAACCUUAUCAUUUAGAGAAAGGAGAAGUCAUAGCAAGGUUACCUACUAAACGAAUGACCCAC